UUUGGAUCCAGAAUGCAGCAGGGAUGAGGGCUGGCCAGCUCAAGAGCCAUUUUACCAGCUUAACAUCCUCAGUGGAAAAAGUAAACUUACCCUCUCCUUAGUGGCCCGGGCCGAAAAUCCUGGUAACCACACCUGUGGAAAGCCCAUCUGUUCAGACUAAGAAUUCAUGUUAGUAUGUCAGGCAGCAGGACACGGGAUUCUGAUGAUCAUAGAGGAAGGAAGUUUUCCUAAGGAAAUUGCUAGCUGAUGCAGAGGUUUGCAUAUGAAGAAGGAAUCUGCAUUUGUAAGCACCUGGGAGAUAUGAGCAGGAUAUAGAGAGAACAGACAUUAAGAAAUAUUGGUCCAACGAUACAUUACAUUAAGAAAUGUACCAUCUGAGAACUCUUCUUCUUCCUUCAAGACACAGUUCAAAUAUCUUCACUGAAGAUUUCUUUGAUGCCCUGAAAACAACUUGAUCGUUUUUCCCCCAUGUUACACCUUGUAUAUGCUUCUG
RNAcentral lists this long non-coding RNA (493 nucleotides) under Equus caballus (horse). RNAcentral describes it as "lncRNA (ENSECAG00000054394.1)". Lineage: Eukaryota; Metazoa; Chordata; Mammalia; Perissodactyla; Equidae. The record is from RNAcentral.